GGGUUGUGAGGUUAAGCGACUAAGCGUACACGGUGGAUGCCCUGGCAGUCAGAGGCGAUGAAGGACGUGCUAAUCUGCGAAAAGCGUCGGUAAGGUGAUAUGAACCGUUAUAACCGGCGAUGUCCGAAUGGGGAAACCCAGUGCAAUUCGUUGCACUAUCGUUAACUGAAUACAUAGGUUAACGAGGCGAACCGGGGGAACUGAAACAUCUAAGUACCCCGAGGAAAAGAAAUCAACCGAGAUUCCCCCAGUAGCGGCGAGCGAACGGGGAGCAGCCCAGAGUCUGAAUCAGCUUGUGUGUUAGUGGAACGGUCUGGAAAGUCCGACGGUACAGGGUGAUAGUCCCGUACACCAAAAUGCACAGGCUGUGAACUCGAAGAGUAGGGCGGGACACGUGGUAUCCUGUCUGAAUAUGGGGGGACCAUCCUCCAAGGCUAAAUACUCCUGACUGACCGAUAGUGAACCAGUACCGUGAGGGAAAGGCGAAAAGAACCCCGGCGAGGGGAGUGAAAAAGAACCUGAAACCGUGUACGUACAAGCAGUGGGAGCACCUUCGGGUGUGACUGCGUACCUUUUGUAUAAUGGGUCAGCGACUUAUAUUCUGUAGCAAGGUUAACCGUAUAGGGGAGCCGCAGGGAAACCGAGUCUUAACUGGGCGUUAAGUUGCAGGGUAUAGACCCGAAACCCGGUGAUCUAGCCAUGGGCAGGUUGAAGGUUGGGUAACACUAACUGGAGGACCGAACCGACUAAUGUUGAAAAAUUAGCGGAUGACUUGUGGCUGGGGGUGAAAGGCCAAUCAAACCGGGAGAUAGCUGGUUCUCCCCGAAAGCUAUUUAGGUAGCGCCUCGUGAAUUCAUCUUCGGGGGUAGAGCACUGUUUCGGCUAGGGGGUCAUCCCGACUUACCAACCCGAUGCAAACUACGAAUACCGAAGAAUGUUAUCACGGGAGACACACGGCGGGUGCUAACGUCCGUCGUGAAGAGGGAAACAACCCAGACCGCCAGCUAAGGUCCCAAAGUCAUGGUUAAGUGGGAAACGAUGUGGGAAGGCACAGACAGCCAGGAUGUUGGCUUAGAAGCAGCCAUCAUUUAAAGAAAGCGUAAUAGCUCACUGGUCGAGUCGGCCUGCGCGGAAGAUGUAACGGGGCUAAACCAUGCACCGAAGCUGCGGCAGCGACACUAUGUGUUGUUGGGUAGGGGAGCGUUCUGUAAGCCUGCGAAGGUGUGCUGUGAGGCAUGCUGGAGGUAUCAGAAGUGCGAAUGCUGACAUAAGUAACGAUAAAGCGGGUGAAAAGCCCGCUCGCCGGAAGACCAAGGGUUCCUGUCCAACGUUAAUCGGGGCAGGGUGAGUCGACCCCUAAGGCGAGGCCGAAAGGCGUAGUCGAUGGGAAACAGGUUAAUAUUCCUGUACUUGGUGUUACUGCGAAGGGGGGACGGAGAAGGCUAUGUUAGCCGGGCGACGGUUGUCCCGGUUUAAGCAUGUAGGCUGGUUAUCCAGGCAAAUCCGGAUAAUCAAGGCUGAGGUGUGAUGACGAGGCACUACGGUGCUGAAGUAACAAAUGCCCUGCUUCCAGGAAAAGCCUCUAAGCAUCAGGUAACAUCAAAUCGUACCCCAAACCGACACAGGUGGUCAGGUAGAGAAUACCAAGGCGCUUGAGAGAACUCGGGUGAAGGAACUAGGCAAAAUGGUGCCGUAACUUCGGGAGAAGGCACGCUGGUGUGUAGGUGAAGCCCCUGCGGGUGGAGCUGAGACCAGUCGAAGAUACCAGCUGGCUGCAACUGUUUAUUAAAAACACAGCACUGUGCAAACACGAAAGUGGACGUAUACGGUGUGACGCCUGCCCGGUGCCGGAAGGUUAAUUGAUGGGGUUAUCCGUAAGGAGAAGCUCUUGAUCGAAGCCCCGGUAAACGGCGGCCGUAACUAUAACGGUCCUAAGGUAGCGAAAUUCCUUGUCGGGUAAGUUCCGACCUGCACGAAUGGCGUAAUGAUGGCCAGGCUGUCUCCACCCGAGACUCAGUGAAAUUGAACUCGCUGUGAAGAUGCAGUGUACCCGCGGCAAGACGGAAAGACCCCGUGAACCUUUACUAUAGCUUGACACUGAACAUUGAGCCUUGAUGUGUAGGAUAGGUGGGAGGCUUUGAAGCGUGGACGCCAGUCUGCGUGGAGCCAACCUUGAAAUACCACCCUUUAAUGUUUGAUGUUCUAACGUUGGCCCCUUACCGGGGUUGCGGACAGUGUCUGGUGGGUAGUUUGACUGGGGCGGUCUCCUCCCAAAGCGUAACGGAGGAGCACGAAGGUUAGCUAAUCCUGGUCGGACAUCAGGAGGUUAGUGCAAUGGCAUAAGCUAGCUUGACUGCGAGCGUGACGGCGCGAGCAGGUGCGAAAGCAGGUCAUAGUGAUCCGGUGGUUCUGAAUGGAAGGGCCAUCGCUCAACGGAUAAAAGGUACUCCGGGGAUAACAGGCUGAUACCGCCCAAGAGUUCAUAUCGACGGCGGUGUUUGGCACCUCGAUGUCGGCUCAUCACAUCCUGGGGCUGAAGUAGGUCCCAAGGGUAUGGCUGUUCGCCAUUUAAAGUGGUACGCGAGCUGGGUUUAGAACGUCGUGAGACAGUUCGGUCCCUAUCUGCCGUGGGCGCUGGAGAAUUGAGGGGGGCUGCUCCUAGUACGAGAGGACCGGAGUGGACGCAUCACUGGUGUUCGGGUUGUCAUGCCAAUGGCACUGCCCGGUAGCUAAAUGCGGAAGAGAUAAGUGCUGAAAGCAUCUAAGCACGAAACUUGCCCCGAGAUGAGUUCUCCCUGAGACUUUAAGUCUCCUGAAGGAACGUUGAAGACGACGACGUUGAUAGGCCGGGUGUGUAAGCGCAGCGAUGCGUUGAGCUAACCGGUACUAAUGAACCGUGAGGCUUAACCUUACAACGCCGAAG
This 2923-nucleotide ribosomal RNA is filed under the name Klebsiella pneumoniae. Its description in RNAcentral is "bacterial LSU rRNA". It matches the Rfam family "Bacterial large subunit ribosomal RNA". Lineage: Bacteria; Pseudomonadati; Pseudomonadota; Gammaproteobacteria; Enterobacterales; Enterobacteriaceae. The record is from RNAcentral.